CUUGUUGAACCUUCUCAGUCCCUGGCAAUGGCAUGCAGCAUAACAGAGCUGAUGCAACGCUAUAAUCUGAAACUGCCCUUUCAAUUUACAGAGAGCAACAAAAAGGAAGCAUAAGAAACACUGCUCCUAGCUACCUGCGUGCGUACGAGGGAGCAUAAACUGCAAGCACUGUUUCUCUUGUUUGGGUCUACCCCACUGCGCCAAGAGGUCCCUGGAAUGCUACCACUAGAAGCUAGAGACUAGAGAGUACGCAGGCACAACCAGUCGAGACGGCCCAUUUCAGGCUGAUUGCACUUGUCGUGCAUGGACUGCAUGCUAGCUCCACCCGCGAGCAUAGCCGGUAGCAGCUCAUGCCCCUUGCAGAGCCGACAUAAUGCUUUUGAGCACUAAGGCAUUUGAUUUCCCAGUUCGUUGAUUUCCCCAUGCGUCCCACUC
RNAcentral lists this long non-coding RNA (435 nucleotides) under Setaria viridis. RNAcentral describes it as "long non-coding RNA (SVIR_LNC002742)". The record is from RNAcentral. Lineage: Eukaryota; Viridiplantae; Streptophyta; Magnoliopsida; Poales; Poaceae.